Molecule: long non-coding RNA, 651 nt
Filed under: Ananas comosus (pineapple)
Lineage: Eukaryota; Viridiplantae; Streptophyta; Magnoliopsida; Poales; Bromeliaceae
Description: long non-coding RNA (ACOM_LNC025996)
Source: RNAcentral
UAAUUUUCUGCACAAACAUUGUCUCAGGUAGUUAGGGGUGUAAACGAGCCAAACAUGAGCGAGCUGGGGCCGGCUCGUGUUCGGCUCGUUUAACACAAGCUGACUCGUUAAAGUAUCAAGCCAAAAAUUUCAACUCGUGUUCGUCUCGUUUAUUAUUAAUGAGCCGAACACGAGCCGGCUCACGAGUUGGCCAACGAAUAAUAAGUUAAAAGAAUUCGAUUGAAUAUAUAUAAAAAAUAAAUUUAUAAAAUCUUAUUCAUUAGACUUUGAUCCAAUAGUUAAAAUUUUACAUAUAAAUAAGUCUUUUUAUAAUUGAGCUCACCUUUAUUUUUUUAUUUUUCUAAAAAUUAAAUAAUAAAAAUAUAUAUUAUAUAUAUAAUUAUUUAUUUAUAUAUAUAAAUAUAAAUUAAAUAAGUUAUAUAAAUAUAAAAUAUAUGUAUUCGAGCUGUUAUCGAGCCGAACACGAGCGAGCUGACCCCAGCUCGUGUUCGACUCGUUUAUUAAACGAGCUGAAAAAUUCAGCUCGUGUUCGGCUCGUUUACUAAACGAGCGAUUCGAUCUCGAGCUCAUUUCGAACCGAACACGAGCUGGCUCGCGAACGGCGAGCUGGAUUGCCACCCCUAGUCUCAGGGAUUGUUUAGUUGAAGAAUU